UACGUAGGGGGCAAGCGUUGUCCGGAUUUAUUGGGCGUAAAGAGCGUGUAGGCGGCCAGACAGGUCCGCUGUGAAAACUCGAGGCUCAACCUCGAGAUGUCGGUGGAAACCGUCUGGCUAGAGUCCGGAAGAGGCGAGUGGAACUCCUGGUGUAGCGGUGGAAUGCGCAGAUAUCAGGAAGAACACCAACGGCGAAGGCAGCUCGCUGGGACGGAACUGACGCUAAGGCGCGAAAGCGUGGGGAGCGAACAGG
Molecule: ribosomal RNA, 253 nt
Filed under: uncultured bacterium
Lineage: Bacteria
Description: partial 16S ribosomal RNA
Rfam family: Bacterial small subunit ribosomal RNA
Source: RNAcentral